UCCUCCCUCAAACCCCCCUCUGUGUGGUUUGGUGUUGGACCGCGUUGGACCGUUCGCGGCCAACUGGUCUCAAAGACAAUGACGGCGUCCGUGGGACCCUCUUCGCACUGAGCUUUCCGGAGCACGCGUCGAGUUGCAAGGUCCCGGGGACCCGGCCUCAACUAUUUUAUUUUUCA
This 176-nucleotide unclassified non-coding RNA is filed under the name uncultured Trichomerium. RNAcentral describes it as "sequence contains ITS2". Lineage: Eukaryota; Fungi; Ascomycota; Eurotiomycetes; Chaetothyriales. The record is from RNAcentral.